GUGUCAGCAGCCGCGGUAAGACGAACCGUGCGAACGUUGUUCGGAAUCACUGGGCUUAAAGGGCGCGUAGGCGGGCUGCCGAGUCCGGGGUGAAAUCCUCCCGCUCAACGGGAGAACGGCCCCGGGUACUGGCGGCCUCGAGGCGGGUAGGGGCGUGCGGAACACUGGGUGGAGCGGUGAAAUGCGUUGAUAUCCAGUGGAACUCCGGUGGCGAAGGCGGCACGCUGGACCCGUCCUGACGCUGAGGCGCGAAAGCCAGGGGAGCGAACGGGAUUAGAUACCCCAGUAGUCC
Molecule: ribosomal RNA, 292 nt
Filed under: uncultured bacterium
Lineage: Bacteria
Description: partial 16S ribosomal RNA
Rfam family: Bacterial small subunit ribosomal RNA
Source: RNAcentral